Molecule: ribosomal RNA, 301 nt
Filed under: uncultured bacterium
Lineage: Bacteria
Description: partial 16S ribosomal RNA
Rfam family: Bacterial small subunit ribosomal RNA
Source: RNAcentral
GCAGCAGCCACGGGAAUACAGAGGGUGCGAGCGUUAAUCGGAUUUACUGGGCGUAAAGCGUGCGUAGGCGGCUUUUUAAGUCGGAUGUGAAAUCCCUGAGCUUAACUUAGGAAUUGCAUUCGAUACUGGGAAGCUAGAGUAUGGGAGAGGAUGGUAGAAUUCCAGGUGUAGCGGUGAAAUGCGUAGAGAUCUGGAGGAAUACCGAUGGCGAAGGCAGCCAUCUGGCCUAAUACUGACGCUGAGGUACGAAAGCAUGGGGAGCAAACAGGAUUAGAUACCCCAGUAGUCCCUGUCUCUUAUU